RNAcentral lists this ribosomal RNA (486 nucleotides) under uncultured bacterium. RNAcentral's name for it is "partial 16S ribosomal RNA". It matches the Rfam family "Bacterial small subunit ribosomal RNA", at positions 46 to 523 of the family's 1533-position model. The record is from RNAcentral.
GCCUAACACAUGCAAGUCGAGCGGCAGCGAGAGUAGUAGCAAUACUACUUGUCGGCGAGCGGCGGACGGGUGAGGAACACGUAGGAACUUGCCCAGAAGUGGGGGAUAACUAAGGGAAACUUUAGCUAAUACUGCAUAAACUCGAGAGAGAAAAGGUGCACGCAAGGGUGUCGCUUUUGGAGAGGCCUGCGUCCGAUUAGCUAGUUGGUGAGGUAAUGGCUCACCAAGGCAAUGAUCGGUAACUGGUCUGAGAGGAAGACCAGUCACACUGGGACUGAGACACGGCCCAGACUCCGACGGGAGGCAGCAAUGGGGAAUAUUGGACAAUGUGGGCAACCCUGAUCCAGCGAUGCCGCGUGGGUGAAGAAGGCCGUCGGGUUGUAAAGCCCUUUAGGUUGGGAAGAAGCUUGGUAGGCGAAUAAGCGAUCAAGUUGACGGUACCGACAGAAUAAGCACCGGCAAACUCUGUGCCAGCCGCCGCGGUAA